UCACCUGUGCAGCUAACCUUGCAAUAUGUUUUGCUUUAGACAACAUUUAAAUCACACUGCAUGUAAGAAACAAAGUGGGACUUUUCUUUGAAUUCAAGUCUUUAUUAAAGUUUUUCCAUUGAAAAGCCUUAUGGCUGACAGCAAUAAAGCAUUGCAGUCUGACUUCAAUCAGUGGUGGACUGUCUUGAACCCCUUAAGUCCUUAAGAAAGGGAGGCAAGCUGAGAAAUCAAUUUGCAAUUUACAUGAGCAGCAGUGUGUUGAAAACAGGCUAAAAGCUAUAGCUUAGAAGAGCCAGCAGUAAUUAGAGGCCUCUCACUACAAACGCUGCUGGAUUGGCCAAUCAAUGGUGCUCAGGACAGUUCUGGCUAUCUGCAAGACUAUUGCUCAUAUGCAUGUGGUGGUCAAUAAGCUGAAAGAUAUCAACCAAGGAGAAAUGACUACAAACAGAAAGAAAAGCUGGCAGAAAAGGAGCAGAUUUAAAGGGUUAAACGCUGGAAAAAUAGCAGUGAGAGGACAAAAGGACCAUUGUGAGAUGCAGAGGUCUCCCCGGAAAGGAGAGAGAGGAAAGAAAGGCACCACUCGCCGGUCCCCUCUCUCCAUUGUGAGUGGACGGAGUGCAGCCACACAUGACAGAUGUCCUGCCCAUUGUCCCCCAUCAGCCUCCUCUCUGCCUCCUGGCCCUACUGGAAUUCCAAGAGAUGCGUUCUGCGUGUGUGAGAGUGUGUGCCUAUGCAUGAGUGUGUGAGGUAGAGCGUAUUGCCUUGAGUCCAUGUGGAGCCGUGUGUGAGUGUAAGGGGGGGUUUGGGGUGUGUGAAUAGGGGCUCCAAAGUCUGAAGUGCCAAAGUUAGCUAAACUACUCAAUACAACUCCCACGGUCCUGUCACUCAAAUGCACACACACGAGAACGUGCAACAGUGCACUUUCACAGCUUUUAACUGCACAUGCAAAUCAAAAAGCUUCAUCACAGGCUCAAAUGAAGAUCUCUCCUGCCUAAGCUAUUACACAAUUCACUACAACACCUGUCACCUGAAUAAGCAGUAAUAUUUAAACAGCAAGCGGCGGGGGUGUAAAGUGAUAUGUGGACAGGAAGCUCUGUGAAGUGCGGUGAUGCACUACGUUCUCUGUUAAGAGACCCACCAUGUGGUAACUCUCCAAAAUCAUCCCGUCAGCUGUCAGUCAGCAGGCAACAGUACCGCUGGGCACAAGAGAGAUGCAGAGUUUAUAAGUGAAUUGGAAGAAAACAGAUAUUCUCAUUUCUUAAAGAACACUCUACAACUGGGACUUUCCCUCCAUUUUCACUCAGCAUUUUUAACAGUUGCUUAAAGGAAUUGUUCAACCAAAAAUUUAAAUUGUGUCAUCAUUUACUCACCCUCAUGUCGUUUCUUCUAUUUCUUUCUUACGUUGAACACAAAAGAAGAUAUUUUGAAGAAUUUUGAAGAAUCAAACAGUUGGUCCCAAAUGACUUUCAUAGUAGUUUAAACAAUUUUAUCAACUGUUUGAAUAGCAUUCUUUAAAAUAUCUUCUUGUAUGUUCAAAAUAAGAAACUCAUACCGUUUUGGAACGACAUAAGGAUGAGUAAAUGUUGACAAAAUUUUAAUUUUUAGGUGAACUAAACCUUUAACAAAUUAAACUGAAUGUGUCCUAAUAAUACAAUGCACUAGCUGCAUCACACAGCAA
Long non-coding RNA from Cyprinus carpio carpio, 1678 nucleotides. The record is from Ensembl. NCBI's taxonomy places the organism in Eukaryota, Metazoa, Chordata, Actinopteri, Cypriniformes, Cyprinidae.